Molecule: non-coding RNA, 453 nt
Filed under: uncultured Prevotella sp.
Lineage: Bacteria; Pseudomonadati; Bacteroidota; Bacteroidia; Bacteroidales; Prevotellaceae
Source: RNAcentral
AUCGAGCAGGUCGGCCUCGCCGAAAUACUCACCGUCGCCCAGCAAGGCAAUCCGUAAGUCCUCGCCAUGAGGACCUUUGCUGAUGACCUCUGCCUGUCCACUGGCCACGAUGAAGAACCGCUGCUUGUCCUUGCCCUCCUCUACGAACAGCUCGUCCACAUCCACCUCUUUUGUUUCAAACGAGCUCACCAGGCGAUGCAGUAUCUCGUCGUCGAACUCAGAAAAGAGCGGAAUGGCCUUCAGGCUCUUGGCUGUAAACGAAGGAACACCAUUAGCAUACUGAAUGGGCAGGCGGUCGUUUUUUCUCAGUUCAACUUUCGUGCGAUUCACGCGGAAGGUACCGCCGCUGACCUGCACCCAGGGCAGGAGUUUCAGGAGCAAACGUGGGGUGAUGGAGCCCAUCUGCGGGGCUGUCUUGGUGGUGGUUGCCAGUCUUCUGGCGGUGGCAGUGGU